UUUCGCAAUGCCCGAAAGGGUGACAAAGCGACGCCGCGUGCGGGAAGAAGGCCUUCGGGUUGUAAACCGCUGUCGGGAGUUAAGAAAUGCAAGGAUGUGAAUAGUAUCUUUGCUUGACUAAGGCUCCGGAGGAAGCCACGGCUAACUCUGUGCCAGCAGCCGCGGUAAUACAGAGGUGGCAAGCGUUGUUCGGAAUUAUUGGGCGUAAAGAGCACGUAGGCGGCUAUGUAAGUCGGUUGUGAAAGCCUUCCGCUCAACGGGAGAACAGCAUCCGAUACUGCAUGGCUUGAGUGCGGGAGGGGAGAGUGGAACUUCUGGUGGAGCGGUGAAAUGCGUAGAUAUCAGAAGGAACGCCGGCGGCGAAAGCGGCUCUCUGGCCCAUAACUGACGCUGAGUGUGCGAAAGCUAGGGGAGCAAACGGGAUUAGAUACCCCGGUAGUCCUAGCCGUAAACGAUGGGCACUAAGUAGAGGGGUUUUA
RNAcentral lists this ribosomal RNA (479 nucleotides) under uncultured bacterium. Its description in RNAcentral is "bacterial SSU rRNA". It matches the Rfam family "Bacterial small subunit ribosomal RNA", at positions 364 to 833 of the family's 1533-position model. The record is from RNAcentral.